AUUUCAGCGGCAGCAGCAGCGAUGUCGUCGAACGUUGCAGCAGUUGCUGAAGUGCUGACGUUGGCGACUGCCCCGGCGGUCGCAGAUGAUGCUGUAGUAGCAGCAGUAGAUGUUGCAGUAGUGUUGAUUGGGAGACUACUUGAAGAGCUUGCACGAUGAAAGAGCGAACAAGUCUAGAAGAGAUCGAAGAGGCUGAAGAGGUCUUUUUGGUGGUGGUGAUAGUGGUGAUUUUUUUGGUUGUGGUGAUGGCUGUAGUUGUGGUGGUGGUUUUGGUGGUGGAGUUGAUGGUUGCACUAAUUUCAAUAGUAGAACUACUAGUAGAAGGUUGGUUAGAUGAAGUUCUGUGGCGGAAGUUGCUGACGUUGAGUUUCAUAGAAGAGCUUGCCCUGAAAUUUGGUUGAUCACCGUUGGUUAAAAUUGGCUUGAACAGAAUGGUUUUAAAUUGUUUAAAGUGUACGCUAAAUACAAAAUUGCCUACAGAGGAAAUAAUGCAAGUGGCAACUGGUCUAACAGAAAGCAGAAAUAUCAACAAUAAUAAACGGUUAAAUGAUCUGCAAUUGCCACCUAAAAAAAUAUUGACAAAAUGCUAGCGUUUCAAUGAAACGCUAUUUUGUGUUGUUAAAGAUCUCAGUUAAUGACUGUGUUCCUGCUCGUCGUUUAGACACAAUUGGAACAGCGAAAUUCUAUUUUUAUAACAGGCACAACAAAAUCCUAUCAAACCAAAAAUAGAGAAAGUUUACCUGUAGGAGCGACGGGGUCGUCUGGUUCUAUCGUCCCGCCGUGUGCGACCGGAGGACAUCUCCACCCGGAUGCGUGUUCCACAGCAUCUCCUGCGGAGCAUAAAAGAGAAGGUCGUUUCGUUACAUAAACCACAGUUCAAAUUCAUUCACUUACGUUCCAUCCAGCGAACGAACCGCAUCCUCGGCAUCGCGUUUGUCCUCGAACUCCACGAAGGCAAAACCCGGAGGAUUGCGGGCAACCCAAACGUUGCGCAGUGGACCAUACUUUCCGAAGGCGCUCUCAAUUUCGUGCUUCGAAGCCGACGAGCCCAGAUUGCCGACGUAUACCUUACACUGGAGAUCCCAUUCACGGUAGCGUGCCAUCGUCGUGUCCUAUUUUCUGUUGAAAAAGAUGAAGGCCAACACACAACACCGCAGAAAAAAAAACUACGACGGAAUUGCAAAAUAAACUGGACGACGACGCGGUGACCUUUCACAGCACAGCAGCUCAAAAUGGCUGCCAUGAACAGGAAAAACUUUUCCAUCGACACUCCCCGAGGGCAAAUGCUUUCGAAGCGAAAACCUAGACGAAACUCCCGUGAUCGAACGCAAAAAUACUUACAGUGAAAAGAAGCUACUACUGUUGAACUUUAUGAAAUAAAUUGAACACGAUUUAU
Long non-coding RNA from Sabethes cyaneus, 1396 nucleotides. RefSeq lists it as uncharacterized. The record is from RefSeq and is a predicted model, not a curated record. The transcript has 4 exons. NCBI's taxonomy places the organism in Eukaryota, Metazoa, Arthropoda, Insecta, Diptera, Culicidae.